RNAcentral lists this transfer RNA (73 nucleotides) under Haemonchus placei. It matches the Rfam family "tRNA". From Rfam's summary of the family: Transfer RNA (tRNA) molecules are approximately 80 nucleotides in length. Their secondary structure includes four short double-helical elements and three loops (D, anti-codon, and T loops). Further hydrogen bonds mediate the characteristic L-shaped molecular structure. tRNAs have two regions of fundamental functional importance: the anti-codon, which is responsible for specific mRNA codon recognition, and the 3' end, to which the tRNAs corresponding amino acid is attached (by aminoacyl-tRNA synthetases). tRNAs cope with the degeneracy of the genetic code in two manners: having more than one tRNA (with a specific anti-codon) for a particular amino acid; and 'wobble' base-pairing, i.e. permitting non-standard base-pairing at the 3rd anti-codon position. The record is from Rfam by way of RNAcentral. Lineage: Eukaryota; Metazoa; Nematoda; Chromadorea; Rhabditida; Trichostrongylidae.
GUCUCGGUAGUGUAAGGGAUGAGAGCACGGUGCCCGGAAAGCAAAAGUACGGGUUCGACUCCCGUGCGAGACU